GAUGAACGCUGGCGGCGUGCUUAACACAUGCAAGUCGAACGGAGAGCCUUUGUAGCAAUACGAGGGUUUCUUAGUGGCGAACGGGUGCGUAACGCGUUGGUGACCUGCCCCGAAGUGUGGGAUAACAAUCCGAAAGGAUUGCUAAUACCACAUGUGGUUUUCCGGAUCAGAUGCCGGAUCUCUAAAGCAGUAAUGCGCUUCGGGAGGGACCUGCGUCCCAUCAGCUAGUUGGUGAGGUAAUGGCCCACCAAGGCUACGACGGGUAGGGGACCUGAGAGGGUGGUCCCCCACACUGGCACUGAAACACGGGCCAGACACCUACGGGAGGCUG
RNAcentral lists this ribosomal RNA (331 nucleotides) under uncultured Chloroflexota bacterium. RNAcentral's name for it is "bacterial SSU rRNA". It matches the Rfam family "Bacterial small subunit ribosomal RNA", at positions 28 to 351 of the family's 1533-position model. Lineage: Bacteria; Bacillati; Chloroflexota. The record is from RNAcentral.